RNAcentral lists this long non-coding RNA (10452 nucleotides) under Gossypium barbadense (sea-island cotton). RNAcentral describes it as "long non-coding RNA (GBAR_LNC022642)". The record is from RNAcentral. Lineage: Eukaryota; Viridiplantae; Streptophyta; Magnoliopsida; Malvales; Malvaceae.
AGGGACUGUUGCUGCUUUUAUGGUGGUCGUCCUCACCUGCAUACAAACCGUGUUUGCUUUUGUGAAUUAAUUUUUAGUAUUAUCGUGCUGGUGUGUUUUCAAUAAAAUACGAAUUCCUAUGCAUUUGUAUGUAAUGAAAGUAGUGAUUGAAGUUUUCAUGGUUUUGCUUUUAGUUUGGCAUUUGGCUACGGUCAAAUAUUUUAGUGUAUAUUAAGUUAUUAUCAUGCCAAAGUUGACAUUAUAUGCCCUAUCACCUAAUUUUUCUGGGUAUGUAAUCUUCAGUACCUGCUUGCACAAACCACACCAUCUGCUUAACUUAUCGUUGCUCCGUCACUCAACCCAACUCCUGACCUCUUCAUCUGCACCCAUCUAUCUAUAUAUCUAGUAAAGAAGGUUGAGGUUAAAGAUGAUCAAUUGAACAACUUAAGGGAGGAACAGGUUGUGGAUGGUAGAGAUUUAGUGAAUAAAGGAGAAGGAAAAGAAAGAAGGGAGAAAGGAAAAAGAAAGAAAAUCUCGCAUGUCAUUUAAGAAAGUAAGUAAUUAAUAUUCAGAAAAAAGAAGAAGGAACAAUUCUUCUUAAAUACUUGGCAUACUUUGUAUGUUAGCUACCUUAGUUUUGGCAUAAUUUUUACUAAGACAUAGCACUUAAAAUAACAAGUGAGCAGAAGUAUCCAUGUUCAUUAGUAGGUAUAAGCAAACUCAAAACAUAUCAAUUCAUCACUUUCACAUAACUUGUCUCAAUGUCAUAUUAUUCUAUCAUUAUCUAUAAUAACAUAACAACUUCACAUAGUUCAUUUUUAAUGUCAUAUUCCAUUACCGAUCUAUAAGAUUAUACUAAUUCCAUACAACUCCUUUCAAUGUUAUAUCAAAUUAUUUUAUCAACUCAUUUCAUUACAUUUUCAAGUUUUAUAUUCCAAUUAUCAUGUUUCGCCAGAUGGAACCUUAGUGAUACAUAGGUAAACUAUGCCAUACUAGGUUGCUCAUCCAAGCUAUAUAAUACUCGAUGAUCCGCAACAGAUGUUGAAUCUCAAUAUAACCUAUAAUAAUCUUCGUACAAUCACAUAUCCCGUUCCAGCACGCAUAUAACUCAAUGGGCAUCAAUUACACAUAUUUCAUUAUCAUCCCUAUAAUCAAUCAAUUUUAUACAUUUAUACUCUAUAGUCAUUCAAAUUUUCACAUUUAUCAUGCAAUAGUCAAUCAUCACAUGGCAUUCCAAUUCAUUCCAUUAGUAGCCAUAUAUGUCAAAUUCACUAAUAUUUUAAAUUAUACUCAAACAUAGAUAUAUCAAAUUAAACACAAGCACACAUAUCAUACAAAAAUGAGAUAGUAAAUUCCAUAUGAACUUACCUAUUCAAAACAAAACACUAGUCGAUUCUUUAGAGACUAAUCCUUAAUUUUAGCUUUUCCCCUAUUAACUCCACUUUGAACCAAAUCUUGAUAUAUACAAUUAUUUUAUAUAAAAAUUCAAUACCAAACAUUUUCAUACAAUUUCCUGAUAUGCAUGAUCCUAUAUAAAUUUAUUUUUUAAUUUCCCUCAUAUUUUAUGUUUUAUUCAAUUUAGUCCCUAAACUCGAGAUAGGCAUAACUUUCAAUUCCUAGCUUUGGAUUAAAAUAUGAUUUCAUAUAUUCUCGUUAGAGGCCUUAUAUUUUCUAUUUGUAACAUAAUUUCAUGACAGGUUUUACAUUUACUCAAUUUGGUCUCCAACAUAACAAAGUUAACAAACAAGCUAAUUUAACUUUAAAAUCUAGUCAUUUUCAUAUUCUAAGCUUAAAAUCUAUCAAUUUCAAACCAAAUUCUUUAAAUAAUCAACAAUGACAACUUUCUAAAACUUUAACAGAUUCACAAAUUGGUACAUGGGUUAGCUAUAUCAAGCUUUCAUGACCAUAAAUCUAUAAAAUUACAAGAAAAUAGCUUGAUUUCCAUACCUAUUUGAAUGUUCGAAUGACUAAGCCUUAAGAAUGGGUUUUCUCUUUUUCUUUCAAUGGUGAAUCAGCUAAAGAAGUAUGAAGAAGAUGGUAACCUUCUAUUUCUUUCCACUUAUCUUGUUAUUUAUAGUUUAAUUAGUAGCUAAUUAGCUUAAUAAAUCACAAUUAAUUAGCAUAAUCUAACUUUUAACUUCACUUAUUAGAGAUAGAAUCUUCCAUUAACUUUUACAUAAUAAUGGUUUAUUAACCAUUUCGGUCUUUUGGUUAAUUGUUAUCUAGGUCCUCAAGCCUUUUUUUAAUUAAAACUCUAUAAUGAUUGGACUUUACAAUUUUUUCCUGGAGCCUUAAUUAACUAUUAAUUUGACAAUUCAAUAUAUUUUUAUAUUAGCUCGGUAAAUAUUUGUAACACCCUUACCCGACUUGUUCUCUGAGUCUGAGUUUCGGAUGAUACAAAUCCUGAAUAUCUGGCUAACACAUUUGAAUUUUAUUCUCAACUAAUUAACAAUACACAAUAGUCAAUAGUAGCAUAUACACCUUUUAAAAUCGCUAGUUCACAACUUCAUUUAAAACUUUGACUUUAAAACUUGAAAAUUUUAGAACUUGACUAAAACCCCAAGGUAUAACCUCUAAGAGCGCCCCUCUAUAUGCAUGUUAUGACUAUCCCUCCCUUUUUCCUUCAAGUUGGCAAAGUCUGGCUUAGCCCUCCACGCAAUUUCCAAGUGAAAGCUUAUUCCUGCAAUUAAGCAUACUGUUGGUUAGUUCGAUAGAACUUAGUGAUCUUUUGCACGUCGACCAUAUAGCUAAAUUGAAAUUUAAUAAAUAAACCCUAAAAGGAUAUUUUUCCACUCUCUGGUGACCAUUGGCCAUUAGCAGAUUAUUUCAAUGUGUCUUUCUCUUCGCUUUUUUCCUAAAGCCCACCGCUGACUGACUCCUUCAUAAUUUGUAGCAUACACAAAUUCUAUCCAAGGUAGGGGUUCACGAGGAAUACAGAAUUGAACACACCUCAUCCAAGAUUCUUUGUUUCCCCCUUUCGCCACCUUGGAUAAAAGAUUCCCAUGUCAACCAUUAACUAACGAACAUUGGCUUAUUGGGUUUAAAAUUCCGAUCUUCCCUUUUUCCUAGCAAACUAUUUACCCCAGAUAAACCUUAAGCGAGUUCCUUCCUUGUCAUUCCUAGUGACUUAGCCCUUACCCAUGGACCCUGAAGUUUCACUCAUUCAUUUGGUACAUCCUCUAAUUGAAAAAGCCUUAGGUUCUAUUCCAUUUGGCGUUCUUUGCCAAACUUCAUCACCAAGCUAUGAUUUUUCACCUUGUGAAGUCCCAUUUUCACCAUAUCGGUUGAGUCUUCAUGACGUCACAAUCGAGCUACAGUUCUUCACUCUUUUACCCCAAGUUAAAUGUCUCAAUAGAUUUUUCCAAGUCUUCUAACCUGAUAGGUUGCACCAUGUUUUCUAUCCUAACACACUCUAUAUGCUGACAUAAUCGAGCUAUAGACUUACACAGUAGACCCCAUGUAAACGUUAUUAUACAAAAUUGACAUAUGAAAGUAAAAGUUAUUAUUAAAAUCAGAAAGGGAAAAAUACAUUAACCCUUUAAUAUAUUAAAUUAGGAGACAUUAACAGCUAACUAAAUACAUUUUAAGAUUCAAUUUAUAAACACCCACCAAUGCCACCUUUUCUAAUAUUUUUGUUGAUGUUUAGUUGGAAAAAAUUAAACCAACUUAAUCCAAAUUUGCAUCUAUAUAAAUGCCCUUAGCCACUCUGAUCGAUUUCAAGGAUUCACUUAUUAUCUAGUAACUAGUUCUUCAACGUUUCCCUUCCAUUUCUCUCCGUUUUCAAAUCCAGGCUUCAGCAGCCAAUUCUAGUAUUGGAAGCCAAAGGUUAUCGGAUUCCCUGUAAGUUUUAAGUCUCUAUGUGUAUGAUCUACAGUAGUCAGUAACAUACUAGUAUUGGUCUGGUCAGUACAUACUGAUUUCAAAGCACUGUAAUGUUGCAUGCCACAUAACGAUACUAAAAUCAUUUUUCAUUCAAUAUAUAAAUAAAGUUUAUUGCUAACUUGAUAUGUAUGCUUGAUACAUGAAAAAGUAGGUGCAAGAAAUGGCUCCAAGGAAGGGACAAUUAGGCUCAAUUAACGCCCCAUCAUUUGAGACAAAGAAAGAUGAAGCACCUAGUGGUUCGAAAGUUGAUGAUUUGGAGCGGGGACCGGACUAAGGGUUUAUCUACGAGGUCCCUAGGAACAUUCGUCAAGCAAAUCCAAAAGCUUACACUCCUCUAUUAAUUUCAAUUGGUCCUCUUCAUUAUCGGAAAACAAGUUUGCUAGCAUGGCCAAGUAUAAAGUGGAUUAUAAAGAUAAAUUUCUUCAAAGGACUUUCUUUUUCGAGAAGGCAUUGGAAAGUUUUUAGAGCUUCAUUGAACGCAACGAGAAAAAUAUUUUCAGCUGUUACGAGGCUCUAAUCGAUGAAGACGAGUUCGUAAAGACGAUAUUUUAUGAUGCAUUGUUUAUCGUGGAGCUCUUCUUGAGGAACUAUGAGAAGGAAGUGGAAAAAAAUUCGGACAUCAAAGACUUGUUUUUGAAAGAAACAUGGUCCGUUUGUCUACGAAGGGUGAUCUUACUUGAAAACCAGAUCCCAAUGUUCGUGCUUGAAGAACUGUACAAACCAUAUGAAAACCACAAACUAGCAUCAGAUGCCUCUGUUCCUUCUUUCCUUAAACUAGCUUGCUCCUACUUUGACAUUCCAUGGGACCUGCAAUUCGAACAUAUAGAAAUCCCACACUUCACCGCUUUGCAAAGAUGCCAUAUGACCAAAACACAAAAUCCAUCAUCAAAGACCAAGAUCCCAACGUUGAAAAAAGUGUACGGUGCCACAAGUUAGCAAGAAGUUGUUAGAAAAAGGCAGCAACAACAAUGAACAACAAAGAGCAUAAGCUCAUGAAAACAACAAGCAAAACAAUUGAUAGGCUAAAGAAAAAAGUAACCGAAUGAGAAAGUGGCAUCCUGCUUUCGUUUUCAUUUCAAAAUAUAAAGGAGUUACAAAAAACAUAAAAUAACAAGUCAGUUACCUAAACGUAACUGCUCCUACCAAAUUUGGCAAGUUGCUAACUAAAAUAUUACAAAAGAAAAGCUGAAAAAAUUCAGCUAUUACAUCCAUCAAUUUCAAAUCUAAAAGUACUAGCUUUAGAUAUGAAGCUACAUGCCAACUUGUUAACAUCACAAAAAUACAAAAUUUAAACAAAAGAAAGUUGCUUCUGGUUCAAUCUUCAAACAGACAUGUAAGCAUUACUGCUGCUACUCUCGAUGUUGGAAGUUUGUUACAUUGCAGGCCAAUACUCAACACUCCUCCUUGGACUGUAGGCAACAAACACCAAUUGAGUCCCUUAGAAAUUCAAACCUGAUUGUGCCAAGAGGCUUUGUCAAAAUUUCAGCCAAUUGAUCUUGUGAGCUGCAAUGUAUUAGACACACUUCUUUAGAUUGAACAACAUCUCGAACAAAGUAAAACUUGAGCUUAAAAUGUUUGGUUUUGCCAUGAAAAACAAGAUUUUUAGAGAUGGCAACUGCUGACUGGUUAUCCACCAUAAUUUCAGUAGGCUCAAGCUGUUCUUCAUUCAAAUCACAUAGCAACUUCCUAAGCCAAAUGGCUUGAUUCACUGCUGCAGCUGCUGCUAUGUAUUCAGCUUUAGCAGUAGACUGAGCAACAGUUUGUUGCUUCUUUGAACUCCAACUGAAAACUCCCGAACCAAGUGUAAAGAAGUAGCCUGAAGUACUUCUCAUAUCAUCAACUGAUCCACCCCAGUCACUAUCUGAGUAGCCUGUUAAUUUUAGCUCACUGACAUACAUGAGUAUUCUCUUUGCUGCUUUCAAAUGAGUUAUAUUGUAGCUGUGCAUGAAUCUAGACAGUAGACUAACUGAAUGCAUAAGGUCAGGUCUGGUUGCUGUCAAGUAAAGUAAACAACCAAUCAGGCUUCUAUACUCCUUUUCAUCUACAUUUUCUUCAUUUCCAAAGCUGCUUAGUUUCUCUCCCACAGCUAAUGGUGUGCUCACUGGUUUGCUAUUUUCCAUAUGAAACUUAGUGAGAAUUUUCAAGGCAAAUGCAUGCUGGCUGAUAAAAAUGCCUUGAUCAGACUGGUCUACUUCCAUACCAAGGAAGUAAGUCAUGAUUCCUAAGACUGUCAUGUCAAACAUGUCUUGCAUAUUCUUCUUGAACUCCUGAAUCAAAUCAACCCUACUUCCAGUCACUAAUAGAUCAUCCACAUAUAUUGAGACAAUCAGCAAAGUCUCAUCUUUGGACUUCUUUAUAAACAAAGUUGGCUCACUCAAACUUUUCUCGAAAUUGAGCCUAGACAGGUAAGCAUCUAUCCUGUCAUACCAGGCUCGAAGAGCUUGUUUUAGUCCAUAGAGUGCCUUCUUCAGCUUGUAAACCUUGUCCUCAUUUCCUUGGACUUUAAAUCCAUCAGGCUGUUCAACAUAAAUUUCCUUUUUAAGGAAGCCAGUCAGGAAAGCUGACUUGACAUCAAGCUGAUGGACCUUCCACUGUUUCUGUGCAGCCAAAGCAAACAGGAGCUUUAUGGUGUCCAGCCUUGCUACUGGAGCAAAUGUCUCCUCAAAAUCAAUGCCAAACUGUUGAUUGUACCCUUUCACCACAAGCCUUGCCUUGUGUUUGUUCAAAGAGCCAUCAGCAUUGAAUUUGGCCCUAAAAAACCCACUUGACACCUAUGACCUUCUUCUGAUCAGGUCUGUCUACCAGAUCCCAAGUGUCAUUCUUGUGGAUCAUGUCGAUUUCAGCCUCCAUAGCCUUUUUCCAGCUCUUGCUUCUUACAGCUUCUUCAUAGCUUGAAGGCUCAACAAUAGCCACAUUGCAUCUUUGGUAGAUAUCAGCAAUAGACCUGGUCUCUUUCACAGGAGCAUCAUCUAUAUUGGCAUUACUGGCUUCAUUUUUUACCAAUUCCAGAUUGCUGUCAAUCUGCUCUUCUUCAAACUGACUUGUGUUAGAGCCAUCUAGACUCCAAAACCUUCCUUCAUCGAAUUUGACAUCCCUGCUUACCAAAAUCUUCUUGGUUGAGGGAUCAAAUACUCUGUAGCCCUUCUUGCAGCUACUAUAGCCAACAAAUAUACCAGGAACUAACCUCUUCUCGAGCGUGGUUCUUCUUUCUGCAGGGACAAGUACAAAACACAUGCAACCAAACACUUUUAAAUGGAAAACAGUUGGUUUAAGAUCAUACCAUGCUUCAAAAGGAGUGUUAUCCUUCACAGCAUGUGUUGGCAGCUUAUUGAGUAGGUACACUGAGGUGUUGACACCUUCAGCCCAAAAAAUGCUUGGAAGCUUGCUUUGAAACAACAAACACCUGGUCAUGUUCAUCACUGUUCUGUUCUUCCUUUCACAUACUCCAUUUUGCUGAGGAGUGUACACUGUGGUUAACUGAUGAUGAAUCCCAGCCUACUCACAUAGCUUCUGAAAUCUUUCAAACAAGUAUUCAGAACCAUUGUCUGUCCUCAAGGCCUUAAUCCUGCAGCCUGUUUGAUUUUCUGCCAAUGCCUUGAACUUUCUAAAAACUUCAAACACUUCUGACUUCUGUUUCAUGAAAUAAACCCAGCUAAAUCUGUUCAGAUCAUUAAUAAAUAGUAUAAAAUACUUACUGUCAUUCAGUGAAGGGUCGUCAUUGGUCCACAGACAUCUGAGUGCACCAACUCAAUUCUUUCUCGAGCCCUCCAUGCUUGGUUUACUGGAAAAGGCAACCUAGCCUGCUUGCCAAGCUGACACACUUCACAAACAGACUCAUUUGCAUCAACCUUAAUCAUGUCCUCUGUCAAACUCAUCUUGUGCAGCAAAUUGAGUGACCUGAAAUUGACAUGGCCAAAUCUUCUAUGCCACAGAUCAGCAUUGUCAACUAAACUUGUAUAGGCUCUUCUCUCAAGUUGGCUCACAUCCAGCAUGAAACACCUAUCUACCAUGGGUGCUGAAACAACUUCUCUACCAAGAACAUCAUUAAUAACACAAGAAUCAUUCUUGAAAACUAGAGAGUAGCCUUUCUUAACCAGUUGACCUACACUAAGUAGAUUUUGAUCUAUUUCAGGUACAUAGAGCACAUCUGAAAUAACCUUGUUACCUGAACCAGUAUUGAUCACAACAUCACCUCUACCUUUAGCUUCAAUCAGAUUCUCAUUGCCUAUCCUGACCUUUGAAGUAAAACUCCUAUCAAGGUCCUUGAACAGGCUCUCAUCUGAUGCCAUGUGAUGUGAGCAGCCACUAUCCACAAGCCAACUGCAUUUAGAUUUGCUUGUGGUUGCAGAACAUGAGGCAGUGAAGACAUGUUCCUCCUGAGCUUGAAGAUCUUCAGCAGUCUUGGCUUGUACUGGCAGAGUUUGUGCCUUUUUUUGAUUUCUAUAAAUCUUUUCAUGGUGACCAUACUGCUUGCAACUCUUGCAUUGGAUGUCUGGUCUGUUCCAGCAAUACUUCUCCAAAUGAUUAGUCUUCUUGCAAUGAAUGCAUGGUGGAAACCUCCUUCUAUCAGCAUCUUUCUUUGAUCUUUCCCUCUUUUCAAACCAAGGCUUCUUAGCUUUCUGACUUGAGCUGGAGCCUUCUCUGACCUUUGCUUGAAAAGCACCUUCAGGACUCUCCUCCUGCCUACUUGCUCUUCUCUGCUCAAGUGCAUAGAGUGAGUUAACCAACUCAGACAAGGAAAUGGUUGUAAGAUCCCUUGAGUCCUCCAAUAAGGAGACUCAAACCUUUCAGGUAAGGUGGUAAUAACCUUCUCAACAACCCUGCUGUCACUGAAAUCUUCUCCAAGGAGUCUAAUAUUAUUAACAGUAGCCAUAAUCCUAUCAGAAUAUUGCUUGAUAGUUUCUGACUCCUUCAUCUUCAAAUUUUCAAAUUCCCUUCUAAGAUUAAUUACUUGUUGCUGCCUUGUCUUGUCCGAUCACAUGAACUCCUCUUUCAGCCUAUCCCAUGCUUGUUUGGUUGAGUCACAGGCCAUGAUGCGAGUAAAAAUCACAUCAGACACUCCAUUCUGUAGGCAGGCCAUGGCUUUAUGCUUCUUGGGUCGCUCCUCACCAUGCUGCCUGAUCUGAGCAAUGGUUGGAUUUGCUCUCAAUGGUGGUGGCUCGACAUCAUUUGCAACUGCACUCCACAGAUCAAGUGCUUGGAGGUAAGUUUUCAUUUUAACUACCCCAAUGUGGUUGUUUUCUCUAGCAAAAACUGGUGGUGGAGGAGGUGCAAAGCUCAUGUUGCUGAAACUGGUUUGACAAACACGAUUUUUGAGUUUAUUUUGAAACAAAAAAACUUAAACAACAGAGGUUCUCAAAGACAAAAGGCUCUGAUUACCAUUUGUUAGAAAAAGGCAGCAGCAACAAUGAACAACAAAGAGCAUAAGCUCAUGAAAACAGCAAGCAAAACAAUUGAUAGGCUAAAGAAAAAAGUAACCGAAUGAGAAAGUGGCAUCCUGCUUUCAUUUUCAUUUCAAAAUAUAAAGGAGUUACAAAAAAAUAAAAUAACAAGUCAGUUACCUAAACGUAACUGCUCCUACCAAAUUUGGCAAGUUGCCAACUAAAAUAUUACAAAAGAAAAGCUGAAAAAAUUCAGCUGUUACAUCCAUCAAUUUCAAAUCUAAAAGUACUAGCUUUAGAUAUGAAGCUACAUGCCAACUUGUUAACAUCACAAAAAUACAAAAUUUAAACAAAAGAAAUUUGCUUCUGGUUCAAUCUUCAAACAGACAUGUAAGCAUUACUGCUGCUGCUCUCGAUGCUGGAAGUUUGUUGCAUUGCAGGCCAAUGCUCAACAGAAGUUGGUGUUGAGCUUAUAGUUGAACCCAACCAAACUGCAUGUUUGCUUGAUGUUAAAUUUGAAGGCAAAAAGAUUAAAAUCCCCAAAUUGACAGUGCAGUUCAACACUGAAGCUUACCUUCGGAACGUCAUGGCGUUCGAGAUGUGCCAUUGUCCAAAUGAAGCCUACGUUUGUGCUGACAUAGAACUAAUGAACUAUCUCAUUGAAAAUGCCCAAGAUGUAGAAUGGUUAAUAGAAAAAGAGAUUUUAAGCAAGGAAAGCAAACACGAAGGAAGACUGGUUACCAUAAUAAACACGAAUAUAGCGGUGCAACGUAUGAUUAAGAAACUUAUGGUGGGAAUUGGGCAGCCAUGUUCUGCAUGCUACCGGGUAACCGCGAACCGAUUGAACCAGCUUUAUAAAGAGGCUAGGAAGCGCAAAGUGACAUUAUUCAUCAAGGAGAAUUAUGGAAUCCUGAAGCGUGUUUAUUUCCCCAAUCUUUGGAGAGGAACAAGGACUGUUACAGCUUUUAUGGUGGUCGUCUUCACCUUCACGCAAACCGUGUUGGCUUUUGUGAAAGAUUAAUUUUUAGUAUUAUUGUGCUGGUGUGUUUUCAAUAAAAAAUGAAUGCCUACGCAUUUGUAUGUAAUGAAAGUAGUGAUUGAAGUUUUCAUGGUUUUGCUUUUAGUUUGGCAUUUGGCUAGGGUCAAAUAUUUUAGUGUAUAUUAAGUUUAAUUAUCAUGCCAAAGUGAGCAUUAUAUGUCCUAUCACCUA